RNAcentral lists this long non-coding RNA (1330 nucleotides) under Marmota monax (woodchuck). Lineage: Eukaryota; Metazoa; Chordata; Mammalia; Rodentia; Sciuridae. The record is from RNAcentral.
CUCCUCUAGGGGGUGGCGUCGGCCCCAUCACCACCGCAAAGCCCUCAGCCCUCCUUUGACCAGUGACUGGGGAGCGGUGAUGGAGCGGGUGGAGCAGACAGGGCUCUUGGCCUGCGCAAGUGCUGAGAGGAAGAAAUUCCCAGGCUGCGCCCAGAGGAGGCCCAGGUGGGCAGGAAUGGGCCCAGCGUGGGCUUCCCACGAGGUGUGCCUACUGGUGGGCGAGUAAGCAGGGUCAGCGGGCGGCUGGGGAAUAGUGCACGGAAUCUGAUGGUGGGUGUGUGGGCUGAUGGCUCCCAAAGGCGUCCUUUACUAGGCGUUGGAGCUCUGCCUGGAAGUGCUGUGUGUGGUUGUGGGGACCCCUGGGAGGAGGGUGCCAGGCAUGGCCGCAGCUGAGAUGAGGGUAGGGGUGCCGAUGUGCAGUUCAAGGCCUCCUCCAGUCAGUGGAGGCUGUGUCACCAGGAACAGGCUGAGCUCAGCACGGGUGACAAUACAUUUUAUGUCUUUGUCUAGACGGGGCAGUAAACGCAACCCCCUGUCCUGAGUGUCCUGCACAGAGGCUGGGCCUGGCUGGGAGUGACUUUCAGGUGUGUGAGGGCUGAGGGGGUGUGAGCAGGCCCAGGUGCAGGGGCCCUCCGACUAUCACAGAGGGACAGGCUGUGCCAGGUGUACCAGAAGGGCCACUCUGCUGGCGUCUUCUUGAAGGCAGCUCCCAGCCGGGGACCACCAGGGCAAAGGAGUAAGGCAGUGUGGGUGUGUUUGUACGGGGAGUGGGGAGUGUAUAUGGCUGGAGAUGCAGCCAGGACAAGAGAACACGUCUCCAGGGCAAUGGGAGCCAUGGUGGGCGCAGGGCAGAGAAUGGUCCCUACUGCCCUGGAGGGCAGACAGGAGGGAAUAAGAGACUGCCAGUUAGGGAGGAGAGCUGGUGGGGGCUGCAAGGAACGGGUAGGGGGGUACGGAGAGGCUGUGUAGGACGGACGCGGCAGGACUUGGAUGACUCUCAAUCCGGGUCGGAAACCUGCCCAGAGCCCUGUCUCCGGGAUGGGGCCUGGGCCUCCCGUACUCCCGGUGCUCUCAGGGCCAAGGAGGAGGUCCGCCUCUUUCCCUAGCGCGGCGCGGCAGGGAGAGGACGCCCAAAACCCCACAGGAAAGGCCUCGGGCCGCUGUCCCGGGCUUGAGGUCCAGAUCGCCCGAACCGGGAGGGGUGGCGGCGUUGGCCCAGCCGUGACAAACCACCGGGGCUCCGGGAACGCGCGCGGCGAGGAGAAACCACUUCCGUUCGGUUUCCUUCCUGGCGGUGGCGGGAACGAGGUCUCCAGUCUCUCAGGUGCGG